RNAcentral lists this ribosomal RNA (430 nucleotides) under Bacteroidota bacterium. RNAcentral describes it as "Bacteroidetes bacterium partial 16S ribosomal RNA". It matches the Rfam family "Bacterial small subunit ribosomal RNA", at positions 355 to 776 of the family's 1533-position model. Lineage: Bacteria; Pseudomonadati; Bacteroidota. The record is from RNAcentral.
UAGGGAAUCUUCGGCAAUGGGGGGAACCCUGACCGAGCAACGCCGCGUGAGUGAAGAAGGUUUUCGGAUCGUAAAGCUCUGUUGUUAAGGAAGAACGAGUGUGAGAAUGGAAAGUUCAUACUGUGACGGUAUCUAACCAGAAAGCCACGGCUAACUACGUGCCAGCAGCCGCGGUAAUACGUAGGUGGCAAGCGUUGUCCGGAUUUAUUGGGCGUAAAGCGAGCGCAGGCGGUCAAUUAAGUCUGAUGUGAAAGCCCCCGGCUCAACCGGGGAGGGUCAUUGGAAACUGGUUGACUUGAGUGCAGAAGAGGAGAGUGGAAUUCCAUGUGUAGCGGUGAAAUGCGUAGAUAUAUGGAGGAACACCAGUGGCGAAGGCGACUCUCUGGUCUGUAACUGACGCUGAGGUUCGAAGGCGUGGGUAGCAAACAGG